Molecule: ribosomal RNA, 503 nt
Filed under: uncultured bacterium
Lineage: Bacteria
Description: partial 16S ribosomal RNA
Rfam family: Bacterial small subunit ribosomal RNA
Source: RNAcentral
AUUGAACGCUGGCGGCAGGCUUAACACAUGCAAGUCGAGCGGGGUGAUGGUGCUUGCACUAUCACUUAGCGGCGGACGGGUGAGUAAUGCUUAGGAAUCUGCCUAUUAGUGGGGGACAACAUCUCGAAAGGGAUGCUAAUACCGCAUACGUCCUACGGGAGAAAGCAGGGGAUCACUUGUGACCUUGCGCUAAUAGAUGAGCCUAAGUCGGAUUAGCUAGUUGGUGGGGUAAAGGCCUACCAAGGCGACGAUCUGUAGCUGGUCUGAGAGGAUGAGCCGCCAAACUGGGACUGAUACACGGCCCAGACUCCUACGGGAGGCAGCAGUGGGGAAUAUUGGACAAUGGGGGGAACCCUGAUCUAGCCAUGCCGCGUGUGUGAAGAAGGCCUUAUGGUUGUAAAGCACUUUAAGCGAGGAGGAGGCUCUUUUGGUUAAUACCCAAGAUGAGUGGACGUUACUCGCAGAAUAAGCGCCGGCUAACUCUGUGCCAGCCGCCGCGGUAA